GGAUGCUCCCUGCCCGGCCCGUGGUAAGGUCCUGCUCUUAGAGGAUGCUGCCAGGUCCUGGGAAUGUGGUAAAAAUAGAGUCUACACAGGCGACGGGAUGCUCCUGGGAACUUGCAGCCAGCCCAGCCCUCCCUCCAGGAUUCAGGCAGCAACAGCUUCCCCAGAGUCGGUUCGGGCUCAGCCACCAGCCCAGCAUUUUCCUGGUGCCAAGGUCAGCUCCUCGGCAGGCCCUGAACUUGUGGUUUGGAGAAAUAAAUGACAUGCUGAUUACUUAAUCCUAAAACAACAGGAAUUUUCUCUUUUUUAAGGGGCAAUGACAGGAAGCUGGCAACGUUGCAGAACCAGCCACAAGCAUCUCGGGCUAUGUUCCGGGGGACAGAGCGGGGUGGGGACUGUGCUGCAGAACUGAACCAGGGUUUAGGGCUGGCCUCUCCCUGCACCUUAUGGCAUCUGUGUCUGGAGGCUCUUCUCCAUGCCGAGAAUGCAGCUCUGCGCCGUCCACUCGGCUUGUCCCUCCUCCCAGCUCUCCUGGCCUCCUUGUGUCCUGGCGGCACUGGAGCCCUGGGGAUGGGCUGCAACUUCGGAAGGAAAUUCCCUUGGUGGGCUGCUUCCCUGGUCUCCAGACCUCAGCAAGCCAGGUCAUUUGGACUUGACUUCAGGCUCCAAAAAAGUUAAUGGUUCACGAAGGGAAAGCACCAAAUAGCCGUGGCCGCGAGCCACCGAGUGUACCCGGAGGCGCAGAGACCAUUGCCACUAAACUUUGGUUCUGUCAAUCAUUUGGGCCUUCUCUCAUUGGAUAAUGAUACCCCACACACCCACAAACCCUGGGCCAAAUCCUGUGUGUGCCCCUGGGGACAGAGGGCUGAGCAGCAAGUGUGGCCCUCGUGGAGCUCAGGGUUACAUGGAAGAUGCAGGCUUAGGAAGUAACCAGGCAGCCCCAGGAGGAACGGCAGCUUCGAAUAAACGAAAGCCAGGACUGAGAGGACAUGUGACAGCAGGCCUCUCAAGCACUUCAGCCGCCCCCAGAGGGUGGGACGGGGACCCCCAAAAUGUUCCCCGUCUUAACCCGCAGAACCUGUAAACGGAAACUCGCUUAAGACUAGGGUCUUCGCAGAUGUGAUUCAACUAAGGAUCUCAAGAUGAGACCAUCCCGAUUUAGGGUGGGCCCUAAAUCCAAUGGCUAGUGUCCUUAUAAGAGAUAGGGGAGGGACACUUAAGCCCCAGAAACCCAGAGAAGAAGGCCAUGCAGAGUGGAGGCAGAGGCUGGGGUGAGGCGUCUGCAAGCCAGGAAACACCUGGAGCCACCAGUGACCGAGAGACAAAGAGGGACUCUGCCCUCAAGCCCUCAGGGGGAGCAUGGCCCUGCCCACACCUUGACCUUGGAUUCCUGUCAUCCAGAAGUGUGAGAAAGUAAAUUUUUAUUGUUUAAGCCCCCAGUUUGUGGUCAUUUGUCCCAGCAGCCCCAGGAGACCCAUACAACGACCUAAAGAAGAAAAUCCGUCUCCCAUGCCAGCCCGUGUGAGCAUGUCGUCUCUGCGAGUUUGUGCGAGUGUUGCAUUGUUGCUGGUGCUGGUCCUCACCUCCCCUUGGUCUGCGAGGAAGACACCUGCAGACACUACUUCUGAGGGUGCCUCAGAGGUGAAGUCUGGAGAAUGAGCCUCAGCCAGUUCAACCCUGUCCCCUGCCCCUCCUGGCACCUUCCCACCUGCGUGUCCUUCGGGCUUCCUAGGGCUGCCCAUCUCCCUCCCAGAACUGGCUGUAGAAUUG
RNAcentral lists this long non-coding RNA (1767 nucleotides) under Homo sapiens (human). RNAcentral's name for it is "HSALNT0234841". The record is from RNAcentral. Lineage: Eukaryota; Metazoa; Chordata; Mammalia; Primates; Hominidae.